AUACGUAGGGGGCGAGCGUUGUCCGGAAUGAUUGGGCGUAAAGGGCGCGUAGGCGGCGCGGUAAGUCUGGAGUGAAAGUCCUGCUUUCAAGGUGGGAAUUGCUUUGGAUACUGCCGCGCUUGAGUGCAGGAGAGGUUAUCGGAAUUCCCGGUGUAGCGGUGAAAUGCGUAGAGAUCGGGAGGAGCACCAGUGGCGAAGGCGGGUAACUGGACUGCAACUGACGCUGAGGCGCGAAAGUGUGGGGAGCAAACAGGAUUAGAUACCCUGGUAGUCCACACUGUAAACGAUGAAUGCUAGGUGUAAGAGGUAUCGACCCCUUUUGUGCCGGAGUCAACACAAUAAGCAUUCCGCCUGGGGAGUACGGCCGCAAGGUUGAAACUCAAAUGAAUUGACGGGG
RNAcentral lists this ribosomal RNA (397 nucleotides) under uncultured bacterium. RNAcentral's name for it is "partial 16S ribosomal RNA". It matches the Rfam family "Bacterial small subunit ribosomal RNA", at positions 523 to 918 of the family's 1533-position model. The record is from RNAcentral.